Long non-coding RNA from Siniperca chuatsi (mandarin fish), 2101 nucleotides. RefSeq lists it as uncharacterized. NCBI's taxonomy places the organism in Eukaryota, Metazoa, Chordata, Actinopteri, Centrarchiformes, Sinipercidae. The transcript is spliced from 4 exons. The record is from RefSeq and is a predicted model, not a curated record.
AACAUACAGGACACAAAUGUAAAAGAUGUACAAUAUUUGUGAUAUUCUCUAACAAAAAAACUAUGAAGUUUGCUUGACAUCAAAAGCAUAUUGAAAAUGUUGCCAUCUGUGUGAUACAGUACCACACACAAUUUUUUUGUAUUGGUCUGGGGAUUUGCCAAAAUUCAUGCCUCUUGUCAGCAUCCCUCCAUGCAGGUGCCUUAACCAACCAGCAGGAGUCCUUACUGCAGUCACAAGGAUGAGAGGAUUGGAGGUGGAAAUCAUGCAUCACUUCACAAAUCAUGUUGUGCAGUUCAGUUUGAAAAUUUGUAGUCACUGACUAUGUGUUCUGUUCACUUUUUUUCUCCUAAACUAAGCAGUCAAAUGCACUUCAGCAUGUACAACAGUAAGUGAACACAUCACCAUUCAUACGGCCACAAUGUUCCGCACAGAUUCAGACUGUCCUCAGUUCAGUAGUAUGUUCAGUCUGUUAGGGUUAGGGUUAGGGUUAGGCCAAAACUCAAGGUCCACUAACUAGUUUUUCUGGAGCUGAAACUGCAUCUUACGGGCUAUAUCAUUGAAUGGAGUUGGCUGUCAUCAAGUUAGGUGAUCAUUCACCUUAUGCAUUUCAUUAACAAGGAAGUGCUUCAACUCUGUUACUGUGGGAAUGUGUUCCCUUGUAUAGAUUGACAUCCGGAUGUCCUGUCUUCCAGCAGAGAUUUUAAGGUGGUGAAUGGUUUGUGGUAAGUUCUGACCUUGUGACUUAAAGACUCCAUUCUUUGAUAAAGGCAUUGAAAUGCAGUUAAAAGUUCUAGUAAAAGCUGGUAAGUGUAGCUUGAGUUAGAAUUAUUUUGCCUAAUUACUAUUCUUGUGGUAAAGAAUGAACUUUCGCACUCAAUGACCAACUGUGUUCAUUGUAAUGCACAACCAAGCCACAGAUAGCACUCCCAGGAAUCAAACCCUGGGAAUGUACAGUAUGUGCUUCAAAUUGUUAUUCAUGAGUCUCAAAAGAUGACCCUGACCUUUUCCCCAGCAAUUCAUAGAAUCAUACUUACAUAUGUAACUCUCAUUCUGAGUUGUAAUUAGAAAAGAGGGAGAGAUUUGAAGGCACACUGUGGAUUUUAAGAAAUUAUAAAUGGUGCAUGAAACAAAAAGGAGUUUGAACUGGAAAGAGGUAAAAAUAUGCAAACACGCAGACAUACUAGUAGUUCAUGUGUUUGUAUCUACUGUAUAUAAGCACAUUUCAAUGGUAUACAUGCUUAGUCUGUGAGGACUUCGCCAACUUGUGAGGACAAAGGACAAGUCCUCACAAGUCGAGAAGUGUAAAAGCACUUAUCAUGAUGCAAUUAUGUCCCUCUCGCCUUUUCUCAGUAUAUCCUAAUAAGUCCAUCAUACCUGAAUUCUAGUGUAUGCCAGUGUGUUCUCACAGUGUAUAAUCUCCCCCUACAGAUGAGUUCGCGGUAUUGCAGCUCCAUUCACAUUUCAUGUUUUUGAAGCGCAUUCAUUGGCUGACACGUCAGGCAGAUUCUGAUCAGCGAUUGGCUGCAUUUGAAGUCAAUCAGGGAGAUUCUGAUUAGUGAUUGGCUGCUGAGUUUAUGGUCAAGGUCUGGCCACAAGAGAAAGAAAACAACAGUGGCUGACGGCACAAUGGCUGCAGAUGUACACUAAUACAUACUUUGAAGCACCAAACUGUCGACUUCAAACUCGGUGGAUGUGUUGCUGAGGACCCGAGGGAGUGCAGUGCAAUUUGAACCCCCGACACAUUUAAUAUUAAUAAACAGGCGAACAGCAGCCGCUCAGCUCUGUGUCUGAGCACAGAGGAGCAGCGGGGCAGAGUUUAGAGCUCUGCUGCAUGCAGCCGAGAUCAGAGCUGAACAACAAGUCACAGAAAACAAAGAUGAAAGAGAGAAGGAGGAGAAAGACUCCUGAACAGGAUGCCAUGGACCAUAUCAUUUUGGGCAGAGACAAAUCUUUCCUAGAAGGAAGAUUCAUUAACACAUUUAAAGGAAAGUGAAGACACCCUCAUAAACUUACUCAUCUACAAAUUGCUUCACAUCUCUGACGUGAUAGUGAGCUGCUGUAACAAAAGAGUUUCCCCUCGGGGAUCAAUAAAGUAUUUCUG